This 445-nucleotide ribosomal RNA is filed under the name uncultured bacterium. RNAcentral describes it as "partial 16S ribosomal RNA". It matches the Rfam family "Bacterial small subunit ribosomal RNA", at positions 354 to 796 of the family's 1533-position model. The record is from RNAcentral.
GUGAGGAAUAUUGCGCAAUGGAGGCAACUCUGACGCAGCCAUGCCGCGUGCAGGAAGAAGGCGCUACGCGUUGUAAACUGCUUUUAACCGGGAAGAAACCCCAGGACGUGUCCUGGGUUGACGGUACCGGAGGAAUAAGCACCGGCUAACUUCGUGCCAGCAGCCGCGGUAAUACGAAGGGUGCAAGCGUUAUCCGGAUUCAUUGGGUUUAAAGGGUGCGUAGGCGGAGCGUUAACUCAGUGGUGAAAUCCUGCAGCUUAACUGUCGACUUGACAUUGAUACUGGCGCUCUUGAGUGCGGUUGAAGUGGGCGGAAUGUGCCGUGUAGCGGUGAAAUGCUUAGAUAUGGCACAGAACACCAAUUGCGAAGGCAGCUCACUAAGGCGAUACUGACGCUGAGGCACGAAAGCGUGGGGAUCGAACAGGAUUAGAUACCCCUGUAGUCC